Long non-coding RNA from Oreochromis niloticus (Nile tilapia), 467 nucleotides. RefSeq lists it as uncharacterized. NCBI's taxonomy places the organism in Eukaryota, Metazoa, Chordata, Actinopteri, Cichliformes, Cichlidae. The transcript has 2 exons. The record is from RefSeq and is a predicted model, not a curated record.
GCACAUCCGAGAGGUCAUCUCUUUCUGUGGCAGACACAAACAAACAGCACACAGCUGAGCGAACCUUUCCAAAGCCAAUUCAUCACUGAUCACAUGACAACACACUGCUGUAGGCAACAUACAGGCCUGGACACCAGCCACCAAACGGAUGCAGACGCGGCCAGUGUCACAAUCGGACACGAUCGGAAAAUCGACACGACUCUGUGUGCCGAAUAAUCUCCCAACCCGUGCUUAAUUCAGCACAUCGUUUUGCUUUGACUAAUUAAAUAAUGUUUUAGAAUGUGUUCCAGAGGGCGGCCGCGUCAGAGGUCGUUUCUAUUCAUAGCCUUACUGUCCAUCCUGUGACCCAUUUCUAAAUCCACUGGCUGGCAUGUUUCUGCAGUCAGUCAGUCAGCUGCUGAGCCACAGCACAGGGCACACAAACACACUCUGAGAUAAUAGAAAACCACAAAUUCCACUGCAGCAGA